Long non-coding RNA from Oreochromis aureus, 801 nucleotides. Lineage: Eukaryota; Metazoa; Chordata; Actinopteri; Cichliformes; Cichlidae. The record is from Ensembl.
CGAGUCUGGAUGAGCACACCGAGCAGAGUCUGGUGAAAUACUGGGAAAGGGGCGUGACGUCUACAUAUGUUAAUGACUCGAGAGGUGACUAAUCCUUUUUCCCCAGCAUGAAAGGAUUACACAACGAGAAACAGGUAGGAAGCAUUUUGACAUUUGAAGAGCCUGGAAGGUAAGAGGAUGAAGAUUUAUUCUGAGAGCAGCUUUGGAAAUAGAUCAAAUUUAGUUGCCUAAUCUUCGAGCUUUUACUGACUUUCCUGCAUUAUUGUCAUACUUUUAGCAUGUUUUUCAAGUUGUCAUGUUAAUUUGUUUGACAGUAAGAAAGGAUGGCAGGAGACCAAGAUAACUGUAUAAUGGAUCAAAGUGGGCAAGGCUUAACGCUGUUGCCUCACAGCAAGGAGGUCCUGAGUUUGAUUCCACAAUCUGACUCCAGCUUCCUCCCAAAGUGAGUCAUCCAAGUGACUUCUUCAGUCCAAGACUGAAAAAGUCACGAAACAUUACUCAAACUGAAAACGCUAUGUCCAGAUGAACAGAAUGAUCUUUUUGGGGAUUUCCUUGCAUGGAUGAUUGGGGAUGCCUGCUUUAUCCAUUGCAAAGACUUGAUCACAACUUCACUGAAGAUUUUUGGACUACGCUUGAAACCAGAACUAAACGGAUGGACAGCUGCUGGCAUUUAUGGAUGACAUCUGGGCACAGGACAAAUUAGCCAACCAAUGAAACAGCUUGUUUAACCCUCAUCCUGCCGACUGUUUUUUUCUGUCAUUCUUAAUUUUUAGGACAAAAUGUGUUCCUAAUGGAGUGUUA